GAAAAAGGGUACGGUGCACUAUUGUAGUUAUCUUCUCUUUGUUUCUAAUUUUCCUUAAAUUUUUCCAAGAGAAAACAACAUAAAAGGCUCAACUGAGCCAUAUCCAUCUAUUUCUAAUUCACUAAAAAGAGUUGGGAUGGAAGUAUGAAAUGAUAUGCCUAUUUAGAAGAAUUUACAAUCAAAGCAAUAGAAAUUGCCACUGCAAAACGUUUAUAUGCGUUGUGAUUUGAUAGUUUCAUUUGAUAAUCUUUGGCUUCGUGCUACACUUGAUCAACUGACGGUAACUUUUAUAUCUGAUACUGGUGCAAUGUUGGACAGGUUAGACCUAGUGUCGCUUUUA
RNAcentral lists this unclassified non-coding RNA (340 nucleotides) under Hevea brasiliensis (rubber tree). The record is from RNAcentral. Lineage: Eukaryota; Viridiplantae; Streptophyta; Magnoliopsida; Malpighiales; Euphorbiaceae.